This 495-nucleotide ribosomal RNA is filed under the name uncultured bacterium. RNAcentral's name for it is "partial 16S ribosomal RNA". It matches the Rfam family "Bacterial small subunit ribosomal RNA", at positions 28 to 507 of the family's 1533-position model. The record is from RNAcentral.
GAUGAACGCUGGCAGCGUGCUUAACACAUGCAAGUCGAACGAAGCACCUCUCCCGAAGAUUGACACAGCUUGCUGUAGAUUGAUUCAUUUGAGGUGACUGAGUGGCGGACGGGUGAGUAACGCGUGGGUAACCUGCCUCAUAGAGGGGGACAACAGUUGGAAACGACUGCUAAUACCGCAUAGUAAGAAGAAUUCGCAUGUUUUCUUCUUGAAAGAUUUAUCGCUAUGAGAUGGACCCGCGUCUGAUUAGCUAGUUGGUAAGGUAACGGCUUACCAAGGCGACGAUCAGUAGCCGGCUUGAGAGAGUGAACGGCCACAUUGGGACUGAGACACGGCCCAAACUCCUACGGGAGGCAGCAGUGGGGAAUAUUGCACAAUGGGGGAAACCCUGAUGCAGCGACGCCGCGUGAGUGAAGAAGUAUUUCGGUAUGUAAAGCUCUAUCAGCAGGGAAGAUAAUGACGGUACCUGACUAAGAAGCCCCGGCUAACUACGUG